Molecule: transfer RNA, 62 nt
Filed under: Protogoniomorpha temora
Lineage: Eukaryota; Metazoa; Arthropoda; Insecta; Lepidoptera; Nymphalidae
Description: tRNA-Cys
Source: RNAcentral
AGCUUUAUAUUCAAUUAUGAUGUGAAAUUGCAAAUUUUAAGGUGUAUUACAUAUAUACUAAG